Molecule: ribosomal RNA, 728 nt
Filed under: Staphylococcus aureus
Lineage: Bacteria; Bacillati; Bacillota; Bacilli; Caryophanales; Staphylococcaceae
Description: bacterial SSU rRNA
Rfam family: Bacterial small subunit ribosomal RNA
Source: RNAcentral
AUUUUGAACCGCAUGGUUCAAAAGUGAAAGACGGUCUUGCUGUCACUUAUAGAUGGACCCGCGCUGCAUUAGCUAGUUGGUAAGGUAACGGCUUACCAAGGCAACGAUGCAUAGCCGACCUGAGAGGGUGAUCGGCCACACUGGAACUGAGACACGGCCAGACUCCUACGGGAGGCAGCAGUAGGGAAUCUUCCGCAAUGGGCGAAAGCCUGACGGAGCAACGCCGCGUGAGUGAUGAAGGGUUUCGGCUCGUAAAACUCUGUUAUUAGGGAAGAACAAAUGUGUAAGUAACUGUGCACAUCUUGACGGUACCUAAUCAGAAAGCCACGGCUAACUACGUGCCAGCAGCCGCGGUAAUACGUAGGUGGCAAGCGUUAUCCGGAAUUAUUGGGCGUAAAGCGCGCGUAGGCGGUUUCUUAAGUCUGAUGUGAAAGCCCACGGCUCAACCGUGGAGGGUCAUUGGAAACUGGGAAACUUGAGUGCAGAAGAGGAAAGUGGAAUUCCAUGUGUAGCGGUGAAAUGCGCAGAGAUAUGGAGGAACACCAGUGGCGAAGGCGACUUUCUGGUCUGUAACUGACGCUGAUGUGCGAAAGCGUGGGGAUCAAACAGGAUUAGAUACCCUGGUAGUCCACGCCGUAAACGAUGAGUGCUAAGUGUUANGGGGUUUCCGCCCCUUAGUGCUGCAGCUAACGCAUUAANCACUCCGCCUGGGGAGUACGACCGCAAGG